RNAcentral lists this small nuclear RNA (100 nucleotides) under Amazona collaria (yellow-billed parrot). The record is from RNAcentral. Lineage: Eukaryota; Metazoa; Chordata; Aves; Psittaciformes; Psittacidae.
AUGCUUUGGCAGCACAUACACUACAAUUGGAAUAAUGCGGAGAUCAGCAUGGUCCCUGCACAAGGGUGACAUAUGAAUUCAUGAAACAUUCCUCAUUUUU